GGGGGACAAGAAGGUGUCGGAAGCAUUAGCAGUAAGAAAACAUGUCAACAGAAUAAAAUAUUAACCAAUGACAGGAAAGAUCGGGAAAUCCCACCCCCAUUUCUAAGCCAAACACCGGGUCAGCCCUUAGCUCUUGGCCGGUGGAGGCAUCACCUCUCUCGGCUAGCUUUUUUAUAAUGUCGCCUGCGGAAAAAAACCCAACCUGUCCACAGACUCGGUGUCUUAAUACUCACCUUCAUACAGAGGAACAGCCUCACUUCUCCAUAUUUGCCACAGUGUUUUCGAACAUGUCACAGCAGUAAAUCUCGCAGCUCAUGCUCUGCAUUCCGGAGAGAUUUCUUCUCAAGAGCUGCUGCUCUCUCGGUCGCUCUAUAGUCUCUAUAGAGACUUCGUAAUUAUAGCGUCGGCUGUUUUGACGAUUAGGCUGGAUUUGCCUCACACUAGUCCAGGCUAUGUUAACCGUGUGUAUACUGAAUCGAGACUCAAACAGGCUCGAUUUCCCCGGGCGGGAGCCGCGUAUCUGUGCGUGUUCCUGGUGGGGCUGACGGGGAGGCGGCGGCAGAGUAAAGCGGGCUGGAAAAGACCAACUCUGAUGCUGCGUGGAGCAAAAACAGAGGAAGCCCGAUGAAUAAUGAUGCGUGAAUUUUGCGAGAAAAAUGAGGGAGAAAAAAGCGAUGUGUUGACAGCAUGGAGAGAUUAAAUUAGCAGCUGCAGCGCCGGGAACAUUGAAUCAUAUUAAGGAUCAGCAGCAGAGGAGCGGAGGAAGAGGAGAGGCUGUACCUGCAGGCCUCUGCUUUCAGGAACCCGGUACCGCAAAACAUCAGGACAUCCACUAAAUAGCCCACAGAAAACCUCUCACCCAGGGCAGGGAAGUUUAAACAAAUACGCUUUAUUCUUAUUUCGAUUCUUAUGAAAACACCUGGAGAAUGAAAACGUUAAAACAGCCUGAAAAUCACUUAAAACGCGACAGAAACAGCGAAGCUGCAGUAAAUUAAAAUCACGCCUGAACGACAGAUAUCCGAAAUAUCGGUUUUUUUUUUUAACCUCUUGAAAGAUCGAAUUACGCAACAGAGACACGUCACGUCUGAUCACACGCACUGCAUAUGAAUGACUCGGUCUGAAUGAAACGAACCUGAAAAGUUCUGAAUGGAUGGCACUGCUGUCCCUCCUGCGGUCCCGCAGUGACGCUGUCACAGCGUGACGCUGGUCUCAAAGGGUGGCACGACAGGAGCCCGCAGGAACACCGAGUCCAGACUUUUCACACAGUUUCAUUUCAGCGUUGCUUCAUUUGAAUUUUCUAAUAUUUAUCCAGCUGACAGAAAUUAUUAGAUCUAAGCCAGAAAACGAGGUUUCACACAGCUGCGCUGUUCAGCAUCAGGGUUCUAACAUAUGGUUUGAUGGGCCUGAAUUAAUCACUUGUUGCACACUAGUUAAAAUCAGCAGCCUGUUUUCUCCACAAUACUUCGGAAACAGCUCCGGUGUAUUUUUAACAUCACGGAAUUCAGUCAAAAUAAGAACAAAAAAAAGAAAAAACAAGAACGAAACUUUAAACAUAAAAACAUCUCAUUUUCGUCCCUAAAGCACAGCCUGGAUGUUUCAGUGUGAGCGGAGUCUUCCUCUGCUCAGUCCACCGCGCACUUUUUUUCAACCCUGUGCAGCUAAAUGGAGCGCUUACUGAAUGUCUCCAAAAACAUAUUUAGAAAAGAAAUAAAAAUAAUACUCUGCAGAAUGUGCGUUUACAGCCCUCUCUACAGCUCUGCAUGCAUGUGUGUUUUGAAUCCACGUCUCUUUAAGUCCCGUCUUAACGCAAAAUUCAGUGUGUAUCGUUUAAAAAACUAGUCGAGUUCGUUUUUAUUGAGGACGUAGAAUCCACGCCAAUACUGAAUUGCCGAACAGUUGAUUUGUAAUUUAGAGUCACCGUCGGGAGCCAAUUUACACUCUCCAACUGCACAGCCAUACACGAAAGAACAGCACUGUGUUGGUUUGUAGCUGAAGUGAAAUGCUGAAGCCAGCUGGGAGUUCGUGGUGGUAAAAACUCAAGCAGAGAGACGGUCAUGGGUUCAAAUCUAAUUUGCCUUGUGCGCAACACAAACUUGGGAAAAGCUGCUGAGUAGCAACAGAACUCGCGGCCCAAUGCUUUGCCUAGAAGGGAGCUUGUUACUGCGCACACUCGCUGUGUAACAGGCCUUCCUCCAAGAGUGAAACUGUGAGCUGCGAGGAACAUUGCACACUUCAGAGAAGGCCAGCAGACCUCUUGCUCUUUAUUCUGAAAAUUAUAUUUUGAACUGCAGCUGGCAACAAGCAAGUUUAUUGAUAACCCUAAAUGGAAAGUGGUGCACAGUUGUGCAACCGCAUCAAUUGUUGGCACUUGGCCUAAAGAAUAACAAACUAACAACAUCUCUGAUGACCAUAACGAUGCCGGGAUGAUUCUGGGAAACUGUUCAGUGGAGCUGGACACUGAUCUCACCAAAAACCUGCAGGACUCUUCUUAUAUUCUGCUGCCGGCUGCUGACCCGAUUAGUUAAUACUGUCACAGUCCUGCUGAAUAUUCACAAGUUUUCUUCUCUAAUCACACAUUUCCAAGCAGGAGCUCUGGUCAGAAUCAAGAAAUUUCAAAGUUUGAGCAGUUUAUAUGUCAGGGAGCCAACUGUGUCAUCUUCACUGACUGAAAUCAGGGAGCAGAUUUAGGAGCUCAGUAACAGCACACAUGUUCCUCUGAGUUCAUGUAAACAGAGCUGCUCAAGUUCAGUGAUUCAGAAUUUCUUUCCUUGCACUCCCACGUCACUGCCCACUUGUUAGAAAUCAAUAAUUGUUUACAUUUAAAACAUUUUAGGGAUUUUGGUGCGUGUGGAACUUUUGUUACACUUCACAUGUGUCUGUGGUGGUGACGGACACUUCCUCUGUAUUAAAAUGUGCACCUCUGAAGAUAUUUCAUAAUGUAAAGUGUUUGCAAAAACAUGAUAAAAUAAAAUGACUUUCAUUUGCAAACUGCUGUGUCUUUUCAGUUUAUGUUGCAUAAUGCUGAAGUUCCUCUGGUGAAGUGGCACAUCCUCCCAGCUUUGUUCGUAAUGGAAUCUUGCACAUCAGCCUAAACAAACACACAAAGGUUCAC
Molecule: long non-coding RNA, 3112 nt
Organism: Astatotilapia calliptera (eastern happy)
Lineage: Eukaryota; Metazoa; Chordata; Actinopteri; Cichliformes; Cichlidae
Source: Ensembl